Non-coding RNA from Araneus ventricosus, 73 nucleotides. The record is from the annotation of a GenBank genome assembly. NCBI's taxonomy places the organism in Eukaryota, Metazoa, Arthropoda, Arachnida, Araneae, Araneidae.
UACCCUCGGCGGGAUUCGAACCCGCAAUCCCCAGUUUAAGAGACUGAUACUUUAUCCAUUAUGACACGAGUGC